UGUCGUCAGCUCGUGUCGUGAGAUGUUGGGUUAAGUCCCGUAACGAGCGCAACCCUUGUCCUUAGUUGCCAGCACGUAAUGGUGGGAACUCUAAGGAGACUGCCGGUGACAAACCGGAGGAAGGUGGGGAUGACGUCAAGUCCUCAUGGCCCUUAUGGGCUGGGCUACACACGUGCUACAAUGGCAAGUACAGACGGUCGCUAACCCGCGAGGGGGAGCCAAUCCGACAAAACUUGUCGUAGUCCGGAUUGGAGUCUGCAACUCGACUCCAUGAAGUCGGAAUCGCUAGUAAUCGCAGAUCAGAAUGCCGCGGUGAAUACGUUCCCGGGCCUUGUACACACCGCCCGUCAC
RNAcentral lists this ribosomal RNA (351 nucleotides) under Schmidingerella taraikaensis. Its description in RNAcentral is "partial Bacterial small subunit ribosomal RNA". It matches the Rfam family "Bacterial small subunit ribosomal RNA", at positions 1050 to 1400 of the family's 1533-position model. Lineage: Eukaryota; Ciliophora; Spirotrichea; Tintinnida; Rhabdonellidae. The record is from RNAcentral.